UGGUGGACUAGGCCGGGCUGUUAGGCGUAGCCUGUUACCCUCAACCGUCUAUAGGGGGGGCUGAAUGCCGGGGGAAGGACCAUAGGGUUAUUUUUGGUCCACGUUGGGACUGUGAGUUCCUGUCCUGUUUGGCUGUCUGCACAGGGAAUCGGGUCAGGACCGGAAGGUAGCAGCCAUAACUUAUGCGGUAGGCGCUUACAGGGGUGCGGGAGCGAGAACCAGCUUGGGUUGCCCAAGAAAUGAUUCUGCGGCACAACCCUUGGAUGUCCGCCA
This 273-nucleotide signal recognition particle RNA is filed under the name Candidatus Altarchaeota archaeon. RNAcentral's name for it is "signal recognition particle sRNA". It matches the Rfam family "Archaeal signal recognition particle RNA". Lineage: Archaea; Nanobdellati; Candidatus Altarchaeota. The record is from RNAcentral.